RNAcentral lists this ribosomal RNA (451 nucleotides) under uncultured bacterium. Its description in RNAcentral is "bacterial SSU rRNA". It matches the Rfam family "Bacterial small subunit ribosomal RNA", at positions 28 to 505 of the family's 1533-position model. The record is from RNAcentral.
GAUGAACGCUGGCGGCGUGUCUUAGGCAUGCAAGUCGAACGCCUCACUUCGGUGAGGAGUGGCAAACGGGUGAGUACGACAGUGGUAACCUACCCCAGAGUUACAGACAACCUUUCGAAAGGAAGGCUAAUCUGCAAUGGACUUACGCUUCUUAUGUGGUCGUAAGUAAAGCUCCGGCGCUCUGGGAGGGGCCUUUGGUUUAUCAGCUUGUUGGUGAGGUAAGAGCUCACCAAGGCUAUGACGAAUCGCGGGUGUGAGAGCAUGGCCCGCCACAUUGGGACUGAAACACUGCCCAAACUCCUACGGGAGGCUGCAGUCGAGAAUCUUCCGCAAUGCGGGAAACCGUGACGGAGCGACGCCGCGUGCCAGAAGAAGCCCUUCGGGGUGUAAAUGGCUUUUAUCAGGGAAAAAUCAGCGAUGGUACCUGAUGAAUAAGAGGUUGCUAACUACG